RNAcentral lists this ribosomal RNA (274 nucleotides) under uncultured bacterium. RNAcentral describes it as "partial 16S ribosomal RNA". It matches the Rfam family "Bacterial small subunit ribosomal RNA", at positions 334 to 626 of the family's 1533-position model. The record is from RNAcentral.
UUACCCUACGGGCGCAGCAGUGGGGACUAUUGCACAAUGGGGGGAACCCUGAUGCAGCGACGCCGCGUGAGUGAAGAAGUAUCUCGGUACGUAAAGCUCUAUCAGCAGGGAAGAAAAUGACGGUACCUGACUAAGAAGCCCCGGCUAACUACGUGCCAGCAGCCGCGGUAAUACGUAGGGGGCAAGCGUUAUCCGGAUUUACUGGGUGUAAAGGGAGCGUAGACGGCACUGCAAGUCCGGAGUGAAAGCCCAAGGCUUAACAAUGGGACUGCUC